RNAcentral lists this ribosomal RNA (441 nucleotides) under uncultured bacterium. RNAcentral's name for it is "partial 16S ribosomal RNA". It matches the Rfam family "Bacterial small subunit ribosomal RNA", at positions 338 to 795 of the family's 1533-position model. The record is from RNAcentral.
CCUACGGGAGGCAGCAGUGGGGGAUAUUGCACAAUGGGGGGAACCCUGAUGCAGCGACGCCGCGUGGGUGAAGGAGCGUUUCGGCGCGUAAAGCCCUAUCGGCAGGGAAGAAGGAGGACGGUACCUGACUAAGAAGCCCCGGCUAACUACGUGCCAGCAGCCGCGGUAAUACGUAGGGGGCAAGCGUUAUCCGGAUUUACUGGGUGUAAAGGGGGCGCAGACGGCAGCGCAAGCCAGGAGUGAAAGCCCGGGGCUCAACCCCCGGACUGCUCUGGAAACUGUACGGCUGGAGGGCAGGAGAGGUAAGUGGAAUUCCUAGUGUAGCGGUGAAAUGCGUAGAUAUUAGGAGGAACACCAGUGGCGAAGGCGGCUUACUGGACUGUAACUGACGUUGAGGCUCGAAAGCGUGGGGAGCAAACAGGAUUAGAUACCCCGGUAGUC